UGCUGGCGGCGUGCCUAAUACAUGCAAGUCGAACGAACUCUGGUAUUGAUUGGUGCUUGCAUCAUGAUUUACAUUUGAGUGAGUGGCGAACUGGUGAGUAACACGUGGGAAACCUGCCCAGAAGCGGGGGAUAACACCUGGAAACAGAUGCUAAUACCGCAUAACAACUUGGACCGCAUGGUCCGAGCUUGAAAGAUGGCUUCGGCUAUCACUUUUGGAUGGUCCCGCGGCGUAUUAGCUAGAUGGUGGGGUAACGGCUCACCAUGGCAAUGAUACGUAGCCGACCUGAGAGGGUAAUCGGCCACAUUGGGACUGAGACACGGCCCAAACUCCUACGGGAGGCAGCAGUAGGGAAUCUUCCACAAUGGACGAAAGUCUGAUGGAGCAACGCCGCGUGAGUGAAGAAGGGUUUCGGCUCGUAAAACUCUGUUGUUAAAGAAGAACAUAUCUGAGAGUAACUGUUCAGGUAUUGACGGUAUUUAACCAGGGCGUGUCGGAUUUAUUGGGCGUAAGCGAGCGCAGGCGGUUUUUUAAGUCUGAUGUGAAAGCCUUCGGCUCAACCGAAGAAGUGCAUCGGAAACUGGGAAACUUGAGUGCAGAAGAGGACAGUGGAACUCCAUGUGUAGCGGUGAAAUGCGUAGAUAUAUGGAAGAACACCAGUGGCGAAGGCGGCUGUCUGGUCUGUAACUGACGCUGAGGCUCGAAAGUAUGGGUAGCAAACAGGAUUAGAUACCCUGGUAGUCCAUACCGUAAACGAUGAAUGCUAAGUGUUGGAGGGUUUCCGCCCUUCAGUGCUGCAGCUAACGCAUUAAGCAUUCCGCCUGGGGAGUACGGCCGCAAGGCUGAAACUCAAAGGAAUUGACGGGGGCCCGCACAAGCGGUGGAGCAUGUGGUUUAAUUCGAAGCUACGCGAAGAACCUUACCAGGUCUUGACAUACUAUGCAAAUCUAAGAGAUUAGACGUUCCCUUCGGGGACAUGGAUACAGGUGGUGCAUGGUUGUCGUCAGCUCGUGUCGUGAGAUGUUGGGUUAAGUCCCGCAACGAGCGCAACCCUUAUUAUCAGUUGCCAGCAUUAAGUUGGGCACUCUGGUGAGACUGCCGGUGACAAACCGGAGGAAGGUGGGGAUGACGUCAAAUCAUCAUGCCCCUUAUGACCUGGGCUACACACGUGCUACAAUGGAUGGUACAACGAGUUGCGAACUCGCGAGACUAAGCUAAUCUCUUAAAGCCAUUCUCAGUUCGGAUUGUAGGCUGCAACUCGCCUACAUGAAGUCGGAAUCGCUAGUAAUCGCGGAUCAGCAUGCCGCGGUGAAUACGUUCCCGGGCCUUGUACACACCGCCCGUCACACCAUGAGAGUUUGUAACACACAAAGUCAGUGGGGUAACCUUUUAUGAACCCCCCGCCUACGGUGGGACCGAUGAUUACGGUGAAUUCCUACGCGGGUGGCC
Molecule: ribosomal RNA, 1449 nt
Filed under: Levilactobacillus brevis
Lineage: Bacteria; Bacillati; Bacillota; Bacilli; Lactobacillales; Lactobacillaceae
Description: bacterial SSU rRNA
Rfam family: Bacterial small subunit ribosomal RNA
Source: RNAcentral